UACGUAGGGGGCAAGCGUUGUCCGGAUUUAUUGGGCGUAAAGAGCGUGUAGGCGGCCAGGUAGGUCCGCUGUGAAAACUCGAGGCUCAACCUCGAGAUGUCGGCGGAAACCAUCUGGCUAGAGUCCGGAAGAGGAGAGUGGAAUUCCUGGUGUAGCGGUGAAAUGCGCAGAUAUCAGGAAGAACACCCGUGGCGAAGGCGGCUCUCUGGGACGGUACUGACGCUGAGACGCGAAAGCGUGGGGAGCGAUCAGG
This 253-nucleotide ribosomal RNA is filed under the name uncultured bacterium. Its description in RNAcentral is "partial 16S ribosomal RNA". It matches the Rfam family "Bacterial small subunit ribosomal RNA", at positions 524 to 776 of the family's 1533-position model. The record is from RNAcentral.